RNAcentral lists this ribosomal RNA (460 nucleotides) under uncultured bacterium. Its description in RNAcentral is "partial 16S ribosomal RNA". It matches the Rfam family "Bacterial small subunit ribosomal RNA", at positions 338 to 795 of the family's 1533-position model. The record is from RNAcentral.
CCUACGGGAGGCAGCAGUGAGGAAUAUUGGUCAAUGGACGAAAGUCUGAACCAGCCAAGUAGCGUGAAGGAUGACUGCCCUAUGGGUUGUAAACUUCUUUUAUAUGGGAAUAAAAUGUUCCACGUGUGGGAUUUUGUAUGUACCAUAUGAGUAAGGGUCGGCUAACUCCGUGCCAGCAGCCGCGGUAAUACGGAGGAUCCGAGCGUUUUCCGGAUUUAUUGGGUUUAAAGGGAGCGUAGGUGGAUUGUUAAGUCAGUUGUGAAAGUUUGCGGCUCAACCGUAAAAUUGCAGUUGAAACUGGAAGUCUUGAGUACAGUAGAGGUGGGCGGAAUUCGUGGUGUAGCGGUGAAAUGCUUAGAUAUCACGAAGAACUCCGAUUGCGAAGGCAGCUCACUGGACUGCAACUGACACUGAGGCUCGAAAGUGUGGGUAUCAAACAGGAUUAGAUACCCGUGUAGUC